AGCAGCCGCGGUAAUUCCAGCUCCAAUAGCGUAUAUUAAAGUUGUUGCAGUUAAAAAGCUCGUAGUUGAAUUUCGGGAUCAAGGAAUCGGUCAUGCCUCGGUAUGUACUGGUUUUAUUGGUUCUCACCUUCUAAAGAACCAUGAUGUCAUUCAUUUGAUGUUAUGGGGAAUUAGGACUGUUACCUUGAAAAAAUUAGAGUGUUUAAAGCAAGCUUACGCUUGAAUACAUUAGCAUGGAAUAAUGAAAUAGGACAUCCGAUUCUAUUUUGUUGGUUUCUAGGAUCGAUGUAAUGAUUAAUAGGGAUAGUUGGGGGCAUUAGUAUUCAAUUGUCAGAGGUGAAAUUCUUGGAUUUAUUGAAGACUAACUACUGCGAAAGCAUCUGCCAAGGAUGUUUUCAUUAAUCAAGAACGAAAGUUAGGGGAUCGAAGACGAUCAGAUACCGUCGUAGUCUUAACCAUAAACUAUGCCGACUAGGGAUCGGAUGAUGUUUAUUUUUUAGUGA
RNAcentral lists this unclassified non-coding RNA (503 nucleotides) under uncultured Glomus. RNAcentral describes it as "SSU rRNA". It matches the Rfam family "Eukaryotic small subunit ribosomal RNA", at positions 569 to 1077 of the family's 1831-position model. The record is from RNAcentral. Lineage: Eukaryota; Fungi; Glomeromycota; Glomeromycetes; Glomerales; Glomeraceae.